AGAGGAAUAUUGGACAAUGGGCGCAAGCCUGAUCCAGCCAUGCCGCGUGCAGGAUGACGGUCCUAUGGAUUGUAAACUGCUUUUAUACAGGAAGAGACAUCUCUACGUGUAGAGACUUGACGGUACUGUAAGAAUAAGGAUCGGCUAACUCCGUGCCAGCAGCCGCGGUAAUACGGAGGAUCCAAGCGUUAUCCGGAAUCAUUGGGUUUAAAGGGUCCGUAGGCGGUUUAGUAAGUCAGUGGUGAAAGCCCAUCGCUCAACGGUGGAACGGCCAUUGAUACUGCUAGACUUGAAUUAUUAGGAAGUAACUAGAAUAUGUAGUGUAGCGGUGAAAUGCUUAGAGAUUACAUGGAAUACCAAUUGCGAAGGCAGGUUACUACUAAUGGAUUGACGCUGAUGGACGAAAGCGUGGGUAGCGAACA
Molecule: ribosomal RNA, 422 nt
Filed under: uncultured Flavobacterium sp.
Lineage: Bacteria; Pseudomonadati; Bacteroidota; Flavobacteriia; Flavobacteriales; Flavobacteriaceae
Description: bacterial SSU rRNA
Rfam family: Bacterial small subunit ribosomal RNA
Source: RNAcentral